This 467-nucleotide ribosomal RNA is filed under the name uncultured bacterium. Its description in RNAcentral is "partial 16S ribosomal RNA". It matches the Rfam family "Bacterial small subunit ribosomal RNA", at positions 28 to 507 of the family's 1533-position model. The record is from RNAcentral.
GACGAACGCUGGCGGCGUGCUUAACACAUGCAAGUCGAACGGAAAGGCCUCUUUCGGGGGGUACUCGAGUGGCGAACGGGUGAGUAACACGUGAGUAACCUGCCCUUGACUUUGGGAUAACUUCAGGAAACUGGGGCUAAUACCGGAUAGGAGCUCCUGCUGCAUGGUGGGGGUUGGAAAGUUUCGGCGGUUGGGGAUGGACUCGCGGCUUAUCAGCUUGUUGGUGGGGUAGUGGCUUACCAAGGCUUUGACGGGUAGCCGGCCUGAGAGGGUGACCGGCCACAUUGGGACUGGGAUACGGCCCAGACUCCUACGGGAAGCAGCAGUGGGGAAUAUUGCACAAUGGGUGGAAGCCUGAUGCAGCAACGCCGUGUGCGGGAUGACGGCCUUCGGGUUGUAAACCGCUUUCGCUCAUGACGAAGCUUUGUGUGACGGUAGUGGGUAAAGAAGCACCGGCUAACUACGUG